Molecule: ribosomal RNA, 494 nt
Filed under: uncultured Roseateles sp.
Lineage: Bacteria; Pseudomonadati; Pseudomonadota; Betaproteobacteria; Burkholderiales; Sphaerotilaceae
Description: bacterial SSU rRNA
Rfam family: Bacterial small subunit ribosomal RNA
Source: RNAcentral
GAGUUUGGGAUCUGGCUCAGAUUGAACGCUGGCGGCAUGCCUUACACAUGCAAGUCGAACGGUAACAGGUUAAGCUGACGAGUGGCGAACGGGUGAGUAAUGUAUCGGAACGUGCCCAGUCGUGGGGGAUAACUGCUCGAAAGAGCAGCUAAUACCGCAUACGACCUGAGAGUGAAAGCGGGGGAUCGCAAGACCUCGCGCGAUUGGAGCGGCCGAUAUCAGAUUAGGUAGUUGGUGAGGUAAAGGCUCACCAAGCCGACGAUCUGUAGCUGGUCUGAGAGGACGACCAGCCACACUGGGACUGAGACACGGCCCAGACUCCUACGGGAGGCAGCAGUGGGGAAUUUUGGACAAUGGGCGCAAGCCUGAUCCAGCCAUGCCGCGUGCGGGAAGAAGGCCUUCGGGUUGUAAACCGCUUUUGUCAGGGAAGAAAAGGUUCUGGCUAAUACCUGGGACUCAUGACGGUACCUGAAGAAUAAGCACCGGCUAACUAC